AAUACGGAGGGUGCGAGCGUUAAUCGGAAUUACUGGGCGUAAAGCGCAUGCAGGUGGUUUGUUAAGUCAGAUGUGAAAGCCCGGGGCUCAACCUCGGAAUUGCAUUUGAAACUGGCAGACUAGAGUACUGUAGAGGGGGGUAGAAUUUCAGGUGUAGCGGUGAAAUGCGUAGAGAUCUGAAGGAAUACCGGUGGCGAAGGCGGCCCCCUGGACAGAUACCGACACUCAGAUGCGAAAGCGUGGGGAGCAAACAGGAUUAGAUACCCCGGUAGUCCAUGCCGUAAACGAUGUCUACUUGGAGGUUGUGGCCUUGAGCCGUGGCUUUCGGAGCUAACGCGUUAAGUAGACCGCCUGGGGAGUACGGUCGCAAGAUUAAAACUCAAAUGAAUUGACGGGGGCCCGCACAAGCGGUGGAGCAUGUGGUUUAAUUCGAUGCAACGCGAAGAACCUUACCUACUCUUGACAUCCAGAGAACUUUCCAGAGAUGGAUUGGUGCCUUCGGGAACUCUGAGACAGGUGCUGCAUGGCUGUCGUCAGCUCGUGUUGUGAAAUGUCGGGUUAAGUCCCGCAACGAGCGCAACCCUUAUCCUUGUUUGCCAGCGAGUAAUGUCGGGAACUCCAGGGAGACUGCCGGUGAUAAACCGGAGGAAGGUGGGGACGACGUCAAGUCAUCAUGGCCCUCACGAGUAGGGCUACACACGUGCUACAAUGGCGCAUACAGAGGGCAGCCAACUUGCGAGAGUGAGCGAAUCCCAAAAAGUGCGUCGUAGUCCGGAUCGGAGUCUGCAACUCGACUCCGUGAAGUCGGAAUCGCUAGUAAUCGUGGAUCAGAAUGCCACGGUGAAUACGUUCCCGGGCCUUGUACACACCGCCCGUCACACCAUGGGAGUGGGCUGCAAAAGAAGUAGGUAGUUUAACCUUCGGGAGGACGCUUACCACUUUGUGGUUCAUGACUGG
This 957-nucleotide ribosomal RNA is filed under the name uncultured bacterium. RNAcentral's name for it is "bacterial SSU rRNA". It matches the Rfam family "Bacterial small subunit ribosomal RNA", at positions 522 to 1478 of the family's 1533-position model. The record is from RNAcentral.